Molecule: transfer RNA, 54 nt
Filed under: Spinibdella lignicola
Lineage: Eukaryota; Metazoa; Arthropoda; Arachnida; Trombidiformes; Bdellidae
Description: tRNA-Val
Source: RNAcentral
AAAUUGAAUCUUGAGGGAUUUAAUUCUUUUACAAUGAAUUGUUUAUUCUCUUUA